AUGGUGGAGACUCGCCGGAGCUCCGCCGCCAAGCGCCCCUCCUCUACGUCACCGCCCCCCGGCUCCCCCUCCGCCUCCGCCCCUCCCCCGAAGCGCCCCAAGGUGAGGCCCCUCUCCCCGCGCGGAUCGGACAAGAAUCUCGCGCCCGAUUCGACCGAUCUGAACCCUGUCCCUCGCCAGGCGGAAUCUCCAGCGUCGCCGACGUCGUCUGCGCCCGGAAGGGCCGAGGAGGAUUCGGAGGCGGCCGCGGCCACCAGGAGCGCCGGCUUGGCGGACGACGCCUUGACACCGGCGAUUAAAGAUCAAGGAGGGGAUAAGCGGGCUGCUGGUGCUGCUGAGAGCUCGCGUAGGAGGAAGGAAACGCCACCGCAGCAGCAUGCGGCGCCAUGGGCCAAGCUGCUCUCGCAGUGCUCUCAGAGUCCUCAUCUUCCUAUCAGUGUCCCUCAAUUUUCUGUUGGCCAAAGCAAAAGAUGUAAUCUAUUGUUGAAAGACCAAUCUGUCAGCAAAAUACUUUGCAAGCUGCGGCACGUUGAGCAAGGAGGUCCGUGCGAGUUAGAGGUUAUAGGCGACAAGGGCGUGGUCCUAUUAAAUGGAAGGGCCGUAAAUCCAGGCAUGAAAGUUCCCCUUACUGGAGGGGAUGAAGUCGUAUUCAGUUCAUGCGGCAAACAUGCUUAUAUUUUUCAGCAUCCUUUGAAUGAUAAAGUUGCUAAAGCGGUGACAUCAUCUGCCGUUGGCCUUCUAGAAUCUCCAGUUGCUGGUGUCAAGCAUAUCCAUAUGGAGAACAGAACAGAAGUCACUUCGACUGUUGUGGGGACAGAGAUGUUAGCAUCCGUAUCGAGUCAAUCGAAGGACCUACCAGCAGUGCCACCUGCAUCAGCUGAGGAGGAGAAUCAGAGAGUAGUGCAACCUAUCAUAUCAUCUGCUUCUGAUAAAUCAAAAGGGCACUGCAUCAGCCCUGAUAAGGAAUGCGAGAAUGGGGAAAACACUAAUGAGGCUAAUUCUAACAUUGAAGACUCUCCAAUGGAUGUGGUUGCAACCCCCAUAACUCCUGAUGCUGUUGGUAAUGACACGAGUCGACAAAAUGGCUUUGGAUCUGAUGCUCAUCUUGAUGAAAUCGGUAAGAUUGCAACUUAUAAGAUAAGGCCAGUUCUGAGGAUGAUUGCAGGGUCAACUGUAUCAGAGUUCGAUUUGACUGGUGAUCUUUUUAAAGCUCUUGAAGAUCAGAGGGAUCUCAUCAGGGAUCUUAACACGUCAGCCAGCUUACCUCCGAGCAGAUGCCAAGCCUUUAAGGACGCGAUGAAACAAGGAGUUAUUAGUCCAAGUGAUAUUGAAGUUACAUUUGAGAAUUUUCCCUACUAUCUUAGCGAGAAUACGAAGAAUGUGCUCUUAUCAUGUUCAUUCCUACAUUUGGAAAAGAAGGAAUUCAUUAAGCAGUUCUCCGAAAUUUCAUCAAUAAACCAGCGAAUUUUAUUAUCUGGUCCAUCAGGUUCUGAGAUUUAUCAGGAAACAUUGAUAAAGGCACUUGCCAAACAUUUUGGUGCUAGACUACUUGUUGUUGAUUCACUCCUGUUGCCUGGGGUGCCUUCAAAGGACCCAGAAACCCAGAAAGAUGUUGGCAAGGCUGAUAAGUCAGGGGACAAGGCAGGUGGUGAGAAAUUGACAAUUCUUCAUAAGCAUCGCUCUUCCUUGGCAGACACAAUGCACUUCAGAAGACCAGCUGCACCAACUUCCAGUGUGAAUGCUGAUAUUGUGGGUACAUCCACUCUACAUUCUGCAACUUUGCCCAAACAGGAGUCCUCAACAGCUACAUCCAAGGGCUAUACUUUUAGAGAAGGGGAGAGGGUGAGGUAUGUGGGUCCAGCUCAGCCACCUUCAGGGAUACAUCGGGGCCCAAGUUACGGUUAUCGAGGCAGAGUGAUGCUUGCUUUCGAAGAAAAUGGAUCGUCUAAAAUUGGAGUCCGAUUCGACAAGCAGAUCCCUGAUGGUAACGAUCUUGGUGGUUUGUGUGAGGAAGAUCAUGGCUUCUUCUGUUCUGCUGAAUUGCUCCGCCCAGAUUUUUCUGGUAGUGAAGAAGUUGAAAGGCUGGCUAUGACCGAGUUAAUUGAGGUCAUCUCAGAAGAAAGCAAAAUUGGUUCUCUGAUAGUGUUACUAAAGGAUGUAGAGAAAUCAUUCACUGGAAUCACAGAAUCAUUUUCAUCUUUAAGGAACAAACUUGAAUUGCUUCCACCUGGUGUUCUGAUUAUAGGAUCCCACACCCAGAUGGACAGCCGUAAAGAGAAGGCACAUCCUGGUGGAUUUCUUUUUACGAAGUUCGCUAGUAGCAGCCAGACGCUCUUCGACCUUUUCCCAGACAGCUUUGGUAGUCGGUUGCAUGAAAGGAACAAAGAAAGCCCGAAGGCAAUGAAACAUCUAAAUAAACUUUUCCCGAACAAAAUUUCCAUCCAGCUUCCACAGGACGAAGCAUUACUUACCAGUUGGAAGCAACAAUUGGAUCGUGAUGUUGAAACCCUUAAAGCAAAAUCUAACAUCGGUAGCAUUCGUACGUUUUUGAAUCGCAGUGCGAUCGAAUGCAGUGACCUUGAAGAAUUAUUCAUUAAAGAUCAGUCACUGACUAAUGAAAAUGUGGACAAGAUUGUCGGGUACGCUGUCAGUUAUCAUCUUAAGCACAAUAAAGUCGAAACCUCCAAGGACGGUGAACUUAUUAUCACGAGUGGAAGCCUUAAGCAUGGCCUCGACAUGCUACAGAGCAUCCAUAGUGAUAACAAGAGCUCAAAAAAAUCGUUAAAGGAUGUUGCCACAGAGAACGAGUUUGAGAAAAGACUUCUGGCAGAUGUUAUACCACCGAAUGAUAUUGGAGUCACCUUUGAUGAUAUUGGUGCGUUGGAGAAUGUAAAGGAAACAUUGAAGGAGUUGGUGAUGCUCCCAUUGCAAAGGCCGGAAUUGUUCUGCAAAGGGCAGUUAACGAAGCCUUGCAAGGGAAUAUUGCUCUUCGGGCCUCCUGGCACUGGGAAAACUAUGCUUGCUAAAGCAGUAGCAACUGAAGCAGGCGCCAACUUCAUCAAUAUAUCAAUGUCAAGCAUUACAUCGAAGUGGUUUGGCGAAGGGGAGAAAUAUGUGAAGGCUGUUUUUUCAUUAGCAAGUAAAAUAUCCCCCAGUGUUAUUUUUAUUGAUGAGGUCGAUAGUAUGUUAGGAAGGAGAGAAAAUCCUGGGGAGCAUGAAGCCAUGCGCAAGAUGAAAAAUGAAUUUAUGGUAAAUUGGGACGGGUUGCGAACGAAAGAUAAAGAACGUGUACUGGUUCUUGGUGCCACAAAUAGACCUUUUGACCUGGACGAGGCUGUGAUUAGGAGGUUCCCCCGCAGGCUAAUGGUAAAUUUACCUGACGCAUCAAAUAGAGAGAAAAUUUUGAAAGUAAUUUUAGCAAAAGAAGAGUUGGGACAAGAUACUGAUCUGGAGUCACUUGCUAAUAUGACUGAUGGAUAUUCAGGAAGUGACCUGAAGAAUCUAUGUGUAACUGCAGCGCACUACCCCAUUCGAGAAAUCCUAGAGAAGGAAAAGAAGGAGAAGAAUGUUGCAAAGUCAGAAGGUAGGCCUGAGCCUGCAUUGCAUGGAAGCGAGGACGUCCGUCCUCUUAGUUUGGAUGACUUCAAAUCUGCCCAUGAGCAGGUUUGCGCGAGCGUGUCAUCUGAUUCGGCAAACAUGAAUGAGCUUGUUCAAUGGAACGACCUCUACGGCGAAGGAGGUUCAAGGAAGAAGAAAGCACUGAGCUACUUCAUGUGA
This 3777-nucleotide ribosomal RNA is filed under the name Triticum aestivum (bread wheat). Its description in RNAcentral is "partial small subunit ribosomal RNA". Lineage: Eukaryota; Viridiplantae; Streptophyta; Magnoliopsida; Poales; Poaceae. The record is from RNAcentral.